UCCCGAGCUUGAUUUUUUAUAAUGAGGGAAUUGUCCUGCAUCUGUAUAUUAUAUCCUUUCUCCACAAGUUGGCCAAGACUGAUAAUAUUAUUUUUCAAUGCAGGAAUAUAAUAAACAUCAUUUAUAUAUUUCUUUUCACCUUUCUUUGUCAUGAUCGUGACGGUACCUUUUCCUUUGACCGGAAUCUUUGACGAGUCACCAAAAGUAACUUCUCCGCUGAUGGUGUCGUCUAUCUCCGUGAAUAAUUCCUUAUGACCAGUCAUGUGAUUGCUUGCUCCCGAGUCA
RNAcentral lists this long non-coding RNA (285 nucleotides) under Daucus carota (carrot). RNAcentral's name for it is "long non-coding RNA (DCAR_LNC005100)". The record is from RNAcentral. Lineage: Eukaryota; Viridiplantae; Streptophyta; Magnoliopsida; Apiales; Apiaceae.